This 997-nucleotide ribosomal RNA is filed under the name uncultured bacterium. RNAcentral's name for it is "bacterial SSU rRNA". It matches the Rfam family "Bacterial small subunit ribosomal RNA", at positions 8 to 1006 of the family's 1533-position model. The record is from RNAcentral.
AGAGUUUGAUCCUGGCUCAGAACGAACGCUGGCGGCGUGCUUAACACAUGCAAGUCGCGUGCGCAGUUUCCGUAGCAAUACGGGGAUCGGCGCACGGCGCACGGGUGCGUAACACGUGGGCAAUCUGCCCUCCGAUGGGGAAUACCCCCGCGAAAGCGGGACUAAUUCCGCAUAACAUUCCUUGGAUUAACUUUCGAGGAUUCAAAGCAGCAAUGCGUCGGAGGAGGAGCCCGCGCCCGAUUAGCUAGUUGGUGAGGUAACGGCUCACCAAGGCAAUGAUCGGUAGCUGGUCUGAGAGGAUGGCCAGCCACACUGGAACUGAGACACGGUCCAGACUCCUACGGGAGGCAGCAGUGGGGAAUCUUGCACAAUGGGCGAAAGCCUGAUGCAGCGACGCCGCGUGGGGGAUGAAGCUUUUCGGAGUGUAAACCCCUUUCGACUGGGACGAAUGCCCGCAAGGGAGUGACGGUACCAGGAUAAGAAGCCCCGGCUAACUACGUGCCAGCAGCCGCGGUAAGACGUAGGGGGCCAGCGUUGUUCGGAAUUACUGGGUGUAAAGGGUUCGUAGGCGGUGCGGCAAGUUGGGAGUGAAAUCUCUGGGCUCAACCCAGAGGCUGCUUCCAAAACUGCUGUGCUUGAGUGUGAGAGAGGCUCGUGGAAUUGCAGGUGUAGCGGUGAAAUGCGUAGAUAUCUGCAGGAACACCCGUGGCGAAAGCGGCGAGCUGGAUCACUACUGACGCUGAGGAACGAAAGCUAGGGGAGCAAACAGGAUUAGAUACCCUGGUAGUCCUAGCCCUAAACGAUCAGGACUUGGGGUGCCGCCCGUUCGGGCGUCGUCCCGGGGCUAACGCGUUAAGUCCUGCACCUGGGGAGUACGGUCGCAAGACUGAAACUCAAAGGAAUUGACGGGGGCCCGCACAAGCGGUGGAACAUGUGGUUCAUUCGACGCUACGCGAGGAACCUUACCUGGCUCGAAAUGCUAGUGACCAGCUGUAGA